GAUGAACGCUGGCGGCGUGCCUAAUACAUGCAAGUCGAGCGAACGGACGAGAAGCUUGCUUCUCUGAUGUUAGCGGCGGACGGGUGAGUAACACGUGGAUAGCCUACCUAUAAGACUGGGAUAACUUCGGGAAACCGGAGCUAAUACCGGAUAAUAUUUUGAACCGCAUGGUUCAAAAGUGAAAGACGGUCUUGCUGUCACUUAUAGAUGGAUCCGCGCUGCAUUAGCUAGUUGGUAAGGUAACGGCUUUCCAAGGCAACGAUGCAUAGCCGACCUGAGAGGGUGAUCGGCCACACUGGAACUGAGACACGGUCCAGACUCCUACGGGAGGCAGCAGUAGGGAAUCUUCCGCAAUGGGCGAAAGCCUGACGGAGCAACGCCGCGUGAGUGAUGAAGGUCUUCGGAUCGUAAAACUCUGUUAUUAGGGAAGAACAUAUGUGUAAGUAACUGUGCACAUCUUGACGGUACCUAAUCAGAAAGCCACGGCUAACUACGUG
RNAcentral lists this ribosomal RNA (497 nucleotides) under uncultured bacterium. Its description in RNAcentral is "partial 16S ribosomal RNA". It matches the Rfam family "Bacterial small subunit ribosomal RNA", at positions 28 to 507 of the family's 1533-position model. The record is from RNAcentral.